UCCCUGAUGUCUCAGAAGAUAAAGAAUCUGCUUGCAACGCAGGAGACCCAGGUUUGAUCCCUGAGUUGGGAA
Molecule: transfer RNA, 72 nt
Filed under: Ovis aries (sheep)
Lineage: Eukaryota; Metazoa; Chordata; Mammalia; Artiodactyla; Bovidae
Rfam family: tRNA
About the family: Transfer RNA (tRNA) molecules are approximately 80 nucleotides in length.
Source: Rfam by way of RNAcentral